Molecule: long non-coding RNA, 305 nt
Filed under: Solanum tuberosum (potato)
Lineage: Eukaryota; Viridiplantae; Streptophyta; Magnoliopsida; Solanales; Solanaceae
Description: long non-coding RNA (STUB_LNC005102)
Source: RNAcentral
CCGCUCCACUUGACCCAACCCGCUAAAAAUAUAAUAUUGACCCUCUUAAUUUACCUUUAUUUUCCAAAAUUAUUUUCUCUGUUCUCCUUUGCGUUUUUUCUUUUUUUUUAAAAAAAAAAUUUCUCAAUUUCAGCCUCUUCUUCCUUCUUUUAGUUAGGGAUAUCUCAAUUUCUGAUCUCACUAAAUCAUUCUCUCUUGUCUCCGGUUUCUUUUUUAUUUUGGUUAUUGUUCAUUAGCAUUGUUAGCUUUAAAUGAUUUUAAAUGAUGUUGUUAAUGAGAGUCGUCGUAUGAAGGUGAAAGGAUAA